RNAcentral lists this ribosomal RNA (462 nucleotides) under Triticum aestivum (bread wheat). Its description in RNAcentral is "partial small subunit ribosomal RNA". Lineage: Eukaryota; Viridiplantae; Streptophyta; Magnoliopsida; Poales; Poaceae. The record is from RNAcentral.
AUGUACCACAUAAGCGUUGCUGAUGAGCACUGCGGCCUGCUUGCCGCCUUCCUGCUCGACGAGAAGUACACCUUUGUUGGGGUGGACAUCAACAAUGACGAGAAAAAACUCGAGCGUGUUGGUCUGGUGGUACGAAACUUUGUGGAUAUCCAGAGUUUGUGGAGAGUGCCUGAUCCAGUGACGAUUAAGCUGAAGUAUGGCUUGGCUGACUAUGCUGGUUCCAUCAUCCACCACAGCUACAACAAGAUGAAGGAUGCUAUCACAGAAGAUGACCACCAUAUAUGGGCAGAAGCGCCCUUGCCCUUGAAGAACAUCUAUUAUGCUUCCAGGGACGCGUAUGCCACCUACGAUGUAUACAGGCGACUGGUGAACUCCCAAAAGGGGUUCGAGAGUCUGUGCCAACAUCUCGCCAAACCAUCUAGGCGGUCAAGGAAGUCCGAAAGCAAGAAUGAAUCAAACUAA